ACUUGUGCUCUUCUGAUCUGGAAAGUCCACUCUCCCAUUCAUGGAUACAGUGUUGGAGUCCCCAGAGCGUUGGGAAUCUCCCCAGGACUUCAGCAGCUCGAUCACCUGAGACCUGGCUCUGGAAGCCAUGAGGAAGCAGCCUGGUGGCCAGCCUGGCAAAGCCAACACCAGGCCCCAGUCCUGAGGGGCCCCUGUCAGGCUUCAGGAGGCUCUAGGCUCAUCAGAGCCCCUCCCUUCCCUCUUUUCCCUCCCCUCCCCUCCUAGACUAGCUGGGCUGUGGCAGAAGUACUUGGGUUCUUUUACAUCAAAAUAACAAAACACCAAAAAGGAAGUUGAGAGAAUGCCAUUUUUUACUACCCAAGCCACAGGCAAGCCUUCCCAACACCCUGUAACCAUGUGCCUUGCACCAAGUGGAAAAUAAACCAAGCAGCCAGUAGCCCUG
This is a long non-coding RNA of Leopardus geoffroyi (Geoffroy's cat), 442 nucleotides long. RefSeq lists it as uncharacterized. Lineage: Eukaryota; Metazoa; Chordata; Mammalia; Carnivora; Felidae. The transcript has 4 exons. The record is from RefSeq and is a predicted model, not a curated record.